RNAcentral lists this ribosomal RNA (482 nucleotides) under uncultured bacterium. RNAcentral's name for it is "partial 16S ribosomal RNA". It matches the Rfam family "Bacterial small subunit ribosomal RNA", at positions 30 to 507 of the family's 1533-position model. The record is from RNAcentral.
AUUGAACGCUGGCGGCAUGCUUUACACAUGCAAGUCGAACGGUAACAGGCCGCGAUUUGCUGACUGAUGUCAGACGGGUAAGUGAGGCAUCGGAACGGGCCCAGUCCUUAUGGAUAACUACUCGAUAGGGGAGCUAAUACCGCAUACGAUCUAAUGAUUAGAGCGGGAGACCUUAAUGGCGCGCGCGAGUUGUGCGGCCGCUGUCAGAUUAGUUAGUUGGUGGGGUAACGGCUUACCAAGGCAACGAUCUGUAGCGGGUCUGAGAGGAUGACCAGCCACACUGGGACUGAGACACGGUCCAGACUCCUACGGGAGGCAGCAGUGGGGAAUCUUGGACAAUGGGCGAAAGCCUGACGGAGCAAUGCCGCGUGAGGGAAGAAGGUCUUCGGGUCGUAAAACGCUGUUGUUAGGAAAGAAAAGGCUUUGGUUAAUCCACGCAGCUAUUGACGGUACCGUAAGAAAAAGCAACGGCUAACUACGUG